This 342-nucleotide ribosomal RNA is filed under the name uncultured Pseudomonas sp. RNAcentral describes it as "bacterial SSU rRNA". It matches the Rfam family "Bacterial small subunit ribosomal RNA", at positions 8 to 359 of the family's 1533-position model. The record is from RNAcentral. Lineage: Bacteria; Pseudomonadati; Pseudomonadota; Gammaproteobacteria; Pseudomonadales; Pseudomonadaceae.
AGAGUUUGAUCCUGGCUCAGAGUGAACGCUGGCGGCAUGCCUUACACAUGCAAGUCGAACGGUAACAGGUUAAGCUGACGAGUGGCGAACGGGUGAGUAAUGUAUCGGAACGUGCCCAGUCGUGGGGGAUAACUGCUCGAAAGAGCAGCUAAUACCGCAUACGACCUGAGGGUGAAAGCGGGGGAUCGCAAGACCUCGCGCGAUUGGAGCGGCCGAUAUCAGAUUAGGUAGUUGGUGAGGUAAAGGCUCACCAAGCCGACGAUCUGUAGCUGGUCUGAGAGGACGACCAGCCACACUGGGACUGAGACACGGCCCAGACUCCUACGGGAGGCAGCAGAAGGG